AGUGAACGCUGGCGGCAGGCCUAAUACAUGCAAGUCGAACGGCAGCACAGCAGAGCUUGCUCUGUGGGUGGCGAGUGGCGGACGGGUGAGGAAUACAUGGGAAUCUGCCCAGUCGUGGGGGAUAACGUAUGGAAACGUACGCUAAUACCGCAUGCGCCCUACGGGGGAAAGCCGGGGACCGAAAGGCCUGGCGCGAUUGGAUGAGCCCAUGUUCGAUUAGCUAGUUGGCGGGGUAAAGGCCCACCAAGGCGACGAUCGAUAGCUGGUCUGAGAGGAUGAUCAGCCACACUGGAACUGAGACACGGUCCAGACUCCUACGGGAGGCAGCAGUAGGGAAUAUUGGACAAUGGGGGCAACCCUGAUCCAGCCAUGCCGCGUGAGUGAAGAAGGCCCUCGGGUUGUAAAGCUCUUUUGUCCGGAAAGAAAAGCAUUCGGUUAAUACCCGGGUGUUCUGACGGUACCGGAAGAAUAAGCA
RNAcentral lists this ribosomal RNA (475 nucleotides) under uncultured bacterium. RNAcentral's name for it is "bacterial SSU rRNA". It matches the Rfam family "Bacterial small subunit ribosomal RNA", at positions 29 to 492 of the family's 1533-position model. The record is from RNAcentral.